GCUGGGUGCAGUGGUGUGUGCCUGUAGUCUCAGCUACUCGGGAGGCUGAGGUGGGAGGAUUGCUUGAGACCGGGAGCUCUGGGCUGUAGUGCACUAUGCCGAUCAGGUGUCUGCACUAAGUUUGGCAUCAAUAUGGUGACCUUCCGGAAGUGGGGGACCACUGGGUUGCCUAAGGAGGGGUGAACCGGCCCAGGUUGGAAACAGAGCAGGUCAAAACUCCUGUGCUGAUCAGUAGUGGGAUCACACCUGUGAAUAGCCACUGCACUACAGCCUGAGCAACAUAGCAAGACCCUGUCUCU
RNAcentral lists this signal recognition particle RNA (299 nucleotides) under Aotus nancymaae (Ma's night monkey). RNAcentral's name for it is "Metazoan signal recognition particle RNA (ENSANAG00000001083.1)". It matches the Rfam family "Metazoan signal recognition particle RNA". Rfam says of the family: The signal recognition particle (SRP) is a universally conserved ribonucleoprotein. Lineage: Eukaryota; Metazoa; Chordata; Mammalia; Primates; Aotidae. The record is from RNAcentral.